This 440-nucleotide ribosomal RNA is filed under the name uncultured bacterium. RNAcentral describes it as "partial 16S ribosomal RNA". It matches the Rfam family "Bacterial small subunit ribosomal RNA", at positions 338 to 795 of the family's 1533-position model. The record is from RNAcentral.
CCUACGGGAGGCAGCAGUGGGGAAUAUUGCACAAUGGGGGAAACCCUGAUGCAGCGAAGCCGCGUGAGUGAAGAAGUAUUUCGGUAUGUAAAGCUCUAUCAGUAGGGAAGAAAAUGACGGUACCUGAUUCAGAAUCCCCGUCUAACUACGUGCCAGCAGCCGCGGUAAUACGGAGGGGGCCAGCGUUAUCCGGAUUUACCGGGUGUAAAGGGAGCGUAGACGGCAGCACAAGUCAGUAGUGAAAUGUCGAGGCUUAACCGCGGAACUGCAAUGGAAACUGUGCAGCUUGAGUGCAGGUGAGGUAAGUGGAAUUCCUGGUGUAGCGGUGAAAUGCGUAGAUAUUAGGAGGAACACCGGUGGCGAAGGCGGCUUACUAGACUGUAACUGACAUUGAGGCUCGAAAGCGUGGGGAGCAAACAGGAUUAGAUACCCGAGUAGUC